CCUACGGGAGGCAGCAGUGAGGAAUAUUGGUCAAUGGGCGAGAGCCUGAACCAGCCAAGUCGCGUGAGGGAUGACUGCCCUAUGGGUUGUAAACUUCUUUUAUAUGGGAGUAAAAAGGUGUACGUGUCGAUUGAUGUCUGUACUUUACGAAUAAGGAUCGGCUAACUCCGGGCCAGCAGCCGCGGUAAUACGGAGGAUCGGAGCGUUAUCCGGAUUUAUUUGGUUUAAAGGGAGCGUAGAGGGGUUGUUAAGUUAGUUGUGAAAUUUUGCGGCUCAAACGUACAAACGCAAUUGAUACUGGAAACCUUGAGAACAGACGAGGUAGGCGGAAUUAG
RNAcentral lists this ribosomal RNA (335 nucleotides) under uncultured bacterium. RNAcentral describes it as "partial 16S ribosomal RNA". It matches the Rfam family "Bacterial small subunit ribosomal RNA", at positions 338 to 670 of the family's 1533-position model. The record is from RNAcentral.